RNAcentral lists this long non-coding RNA (3177 nucleotides) under Anthonomus grandis grandis. RNAcentral describes it as "uncharacterized LOC126738924". Lineage: Eukaryota; Metazoa; Arthropoda; Insecta; Coleoptera; Curculionidae. The record is from RNAcentral.
GCGGAUAUAUUCAAAUAAACAAGUUGUGCGUAUUCUAUUGCACUUUUUAUUAUCUAUUUUAGUAGUUGUUAGUUGGACGUUGAGUUGUGAUUCCACGUGCUUUUAACUCCUGUAAGACCAGUGAAAUUAAAGUGUUCUUUUAGCGUUUUAAGUUCAUAAGACAUCAAUUAGGACAUUCAGUCAUUACAACAAAAGAAAAAUACGUUGAAAUAUAUUCGGAAGUGAGUUUGGUUAAAACACUGGACCUUGAUUGGCAAAUUUAUAAUGUUAAAGAACUAAAAAAGCACUUGUUGGAGGAGUUUGAUAUAAAGCAGCUCUCUUAGGAUUAGCACCAUGCAAUGUAUCUGAUUAAGCAAGAACCAAUUUGAGCAAAACCAAUCUGAAUGAGAGUGCACUCAAGAGAUUGCAAGAUUGUUGAGUCGUCCGCAAAUUUGUCUCAUUAAAUGGAAGAUUUUUUAUAUAUAUAACAAUUGGAAUGGGAUCAAGUAUGGAUCUUUAUGGAAUCCCAAUAUUAACCACUCUGUCUCUCUAACCGACGGUCCUUAAGAUAGGAUUUAUGCGACGAACGAAGAAAUUAUUAAGCAUCAACUUCUUUAGAAGGAUAUCAUGGGUAACACAGCUAAAGUCAUGCUUAAACUUCAGAAUAGAGCAGGGAUGGACAAAUCACAUACGAACAACAAAAGAUCCUGAAGACCAUCGAGGAAUACUACAAAGUAAUAAAUGAUCGAGAUAAUUCCAUUCAAGAGAUACAAGUUCUAGUUAUACAGGAUUAAGAAUCUGAGGAACUUCCAGAUAUAACUAAAGAGGAGAUUGGUUUGAGUCAGCCAUAAAAACUAUGAAGGACAAAAAAGCACCGGGAGAAGAGAGCAUUGUGAUUCAAAUGAAAAAAACAAGGAUUUAAACGCGUUAUGAAAGAAACCCUAUAAACUCUAUAAUACAUACAUCUUUAUAGGAAAUAUACCAAAACAAUGGAAUAAUUGCAUUAAUAUAGAAAUGAAAACAUAACAGAAGUUAGAAACUACCGACCUCUCACUAAUAUCUCACUUAUAUAGGGUGUUCCAAAAAUCAGCGAUAAGCUGAAAACCGGCAAUAGACUAGGUGCCCAGGGAUUAAAAAAAAUAUUUAAAAAAAUCUAGGUUAAGUACUUUUAAAAUGUCCUGGAAAAAAAAAUUACUUCACUAUUUGGCAAGUGAUUUCAGAAGUUGGCGUAUCUAAUCUAGAUUUCAAAAUGCUAAGAUACUUGCUAAAUUAUUGGUUCAACAAAGGUGUAUUUUUUACAUGAAAUGUAUGCCAGUACUCUACGCUAAGUUAUUAAUUAUACAUUCAAAAUAAAACUUUACUUAAGUCGCAACUAAUGUUCAAAUUGUCUGCCUCCAUUCCUGAUACGACGUUUUAAACGGGAUUAGUGUAUACGAUUUCUUAAUCUUUAUCACUUUUUAUUAAUUAUGGUUUCCUGUAAAGUAGGGAAAUUUAAAUAAAUUAUUUAAAUUAGGUGAACAUGGCGCCAGGCUUUCUUCUAUCCCGCCCUAUCUACCUGUACGGGUAUUCCCUAUUCAGAAAUACCCCUACAGGGUAAGUAAGACAGGUGGUGAUAUAACUUAGGUCAUUAAUUAAGACUUUUGCUACUGCAGUACUUUGCUAUCCUACGUUUACUACGCAUCUUUCUGUAUUAUUGUUGAUUAUUUUGACUUUUCUGGACUAUCAAUAACCAUAUGAUUAUUUAGUUAGUAAAUAAAACCAUGCCAGAUCGUCAUACUGUGCGGGAAUAUGCUUAUAUAUAUAUCUCAUCUAUAGAGAAUAUCGAUGCAAUGGUAAUGCUGCCGCUAGACUGUAUCAUCAAAGAGGGCCGAUUCUCAAAUCAAAUGAGUGGUGCAGGCAGAACGCGCUUGUCCUACGAGGCCGAAGUCUUAUAAGAAGUUGCACGUGAUCCGAGUACCUCAGUACGUGAAGUAAAAUCAAGGACAGGCAUGUUUAAGAGUUCGGCACACUGAAUAUUGAAAAAAAAAACAGUAACUCCAUACCACUUACAACAAGUACAAAGUUUACUACCUCGAGACUACCCGGCAAGACUAGAAUUUUAUCAAAUAAUGUUGUAAAGACAUAGAGAAGAUUCGCGAUUCUUGGAAAGAAUUCUAUGGUUCGAUAAAUCGACUUUUAAGAGGGAUGGAUUCAUAAAUUACCACAACAUAUAUGAGUGGCAUGUGGGAAAUCCAUACUAAAACCGAGAGGACCGGUCACAAUACCAGACAGGUAAGAGCCAAAGAGGUAAUAAAUAAAAUUCAAGUAGCACAGAGAGCGAUAGAGAGAUUAAUUAAUGUUGAAUUUAUCCGUCAGAGACAUCCCAAAUGAUACUUACCAAAUAAAAAGUAUGGAAAGAACUGGUAAUACGAACGCAGUUAAAUAGUUUACAAUACUGAAAUGAUACUGGGCAGACAAUGUUGCCAGAGCGAAAGAUCGAACAUGGACAAUUCUAUAAUUUUCUUUCUAUAUGAUGCAUACAUAAACCGAGGACGUCCUCCAACGAGAUGGUCGGACGAUAUCAAGCUCAUCCAUCACUGAAUGCAAAGUACUCAAGAUCGGAAGCAAUGGAAUGGUUUACGAGAUGUGCACCAGUGAACUCAAAGCAGCUAUUGAUGAUGAUGAUACUCGUUAUUCGUCCAAGAUAUACAAAAAUAUUAGAAUUUGUCCAAUACUUAACAGAAAUACCCAUUAUUUAAUUUUGAUUUAACUUUGACACAUUUGAUGCACUCACUAUUGUGAAAUUGCAUUCAACCAUUGACUUCGGCACCACGGAAAAUUUAGCCAUUUGGCCUAAAUCCGCUUUUAAAUUUAGAAAAUAUGUAUUUGAUAUUUUUUAGGCCUGUUUGAAGAAAAAAACUAAAAACAAUUAAUUUUAUUAUUUUUUGUACAGAGAAAAUUCAAGAUAAAUUAUUAAACUUAAAAGAAAAUAAAACUUUAAAACUUUUUAAUUUUUUUUUAAUUAUUGGGAAGAUUCCAAGUAAAUUAUUAAAGUUACAGUUUUUGCCCUGAUUCUACAACUAUCCACUAAAUUAUUAAUUUAAGGACGUAAAUUAUCUCAGUAGCACAUAAUUAUUUUUUGAUCCUGGGCUUGUAUUCUUAUAAAGAAGUUUGCUAUUACUCUUCCUAUAUCAACUCAAUAAUUCUAUUUAUUUGUUA